Molecule: ribosomal RNA, 601 nt
Filed under: bacterium Chen5
Lineage: Bacteria
Description: bacterial SSU rRNA
Rfam family: Bacterial small subunit ribosomal RNA
Source: RNAcentral
CCUUGAGGAAAGCCUAUAUCAUGCAAGUCGAGCGGGCCCUUCGGGGUCAGCGGCAUACGGGUGAGUAACGCGUGGGAACGUACCAUUUGCUACGGAAUAACUCAGGGAAACUUGUGCUAAUACCGUAUGAGCCCCCCUUUAAAAUUUCAUGAAUCAUAAAAUGCCCUGGCAUUUUAUGGGGGGGAAAGAUUUAUCGGCAAAUGAUCGGCCCGCGUUGGAUUACCUACUUGGUGGGGUAAAGGCCUACCAAGGAGACUAUCCAUAGCUGGUCUGAGAGGAUGAUCAGCCACACUGGGACUGAGACACGGCCCACACUCCUACGGGAGGCACCAGUGGGGAAUAUUGGACAAUGGGCGCAAGCCUGAUCCACCCAUGCCGCGUGAGUGAUGAAGGCCCUACGGAUGUAAAUCUCUUUCACCGGUGAAGAUAAUGACGGUAACAGGAAAAGAAGUCCCGGCUAACUUCCUGUCAACAGCCUCUUCAAUACGAACGGGGUUAACCAUGUCCGCAUUCACAGGGUGUUUAUCGCAGAUAGGCGGGGUCAUAAGUUUUUGGUGAAAUAUCGGGGCUCAACCCUGGCAUUGCCUUUGAUAGUGUUAGC